This 314-nucleotide unclassified non-coding RNA is filed under the name Onobrychis reuteri. RNAcentral describes it as "partial external transcribed spacer". The record is from RNAcentral. Lineage: Eukaryota; Viridiplantae; Streptophyta; Magnoliopsida; Fabales; Fabaceae.
AUUUUGUGCCUAGUUCCUGUGUUGCCUACCUUUUGAAAGGAACUCGUGUGGCUUGUUGGAUUUUAUCCGUUCCAACCUCUUUUGUUGGUUGCGAAGGGCUAUUGAGGUGAACUACGUGGUUGCCCCGGUUAGUCUCGCUCGAUGCUGACUAUGUUGGUUCCCACGUAUUAAUCGUGCUCUUGGAUGCGGUACAUGAAGCGAACUUGGGUUGUUUUCCCAAUGCGUCCUUUAUUUUUUGGUUGCCUUAGAUGAUCCCUGCCUUCAUGUGUGCUUUGACACAUAUUACUGGGUCCAAAGCUUGCAUGAAGUGCAGA